GGGCCUGUAGUUCAGUCUGGUUAGAAUGAUCGACUGAUAAUCGAUUGGUCCUCAGUUCAAAUCUGAGCAGGCCCA
This 75-nucleotide transfer RNA is filed under the name Candidatus Woesearchaeota archaeon. RNAcentral's name for it is "tRNA-Ile". It matches the Rfam family "tRNA". From Rfam's summary of the family: Transfer RNA (tRNA) molecules are approximately 80 nucleotides in length. Their secondary structure includes four short double-helical elements and three loops (D, anti-codon, and T loops). Lineage: Archaea; Nanobdellati; Candidatus Woesearchaeota. The record is from RNAcentral.